This is a long non-coding RNA of Callithrix jacchus (white-tufted-ear marmoset), 7460 nucleotides long. RefSeq lists it as uncharacterized. NCBI's taxonomy places the organism in Eukaryota, Metazoa, Chordata, Mammalia, Primates, Cebidae. The record is from RefSeq and is a predicted model, not a curated record.
UAUAUAAUAUAAAAGAUGAAGGAAAAGAGAAUGCAGGUGCACAUAGAUGUGCUAAUAGAAAGCAAAUGGAAUUUCUACUUUUGAUUUGUUUUUUUUUUUUUCCUCCAUGUAGUAGAAGGGAAUUUCCUGUGUUGAGAACGAGGAGGCAAGUUGGAAGUUUGAGGAAAGUGAAAUACGACGACAAGUUACGUUCUACAAUAGAAUAGUGAGAUUUAGAAGCUUGUAGCGAACAGUGACAGUUUAGAGGAAUGGCUGAGGUAAAUGAUAGAGGGGAAUGACUAGGAGUUGCUGAGCACUGUAGAGUGAGAGAGCAGCUAUAACUGGAUUGUGCUCAUUUACUGUGGCAUCGUUCUUCAUGGCUGCUUGGUUUCAGCAGCCACAUCAGCAACCCAUAUGUAGCAGCAGAUGAUGUGAAUGGUCCAGAGUGACACAUGGUUGGAGUUUAGAUGGGCAUGUGUAACAGGGAGGUCUAGAGUCAGAGGAGAGAAAGAGGUUAAGGUGAGAUUAUGAGAUUCGGGGGAGGCCAAGGGGCAGGAAGUAACAUUCUUGGAGAGUAGGGAACAGUUUUCCAUGAGAUCACAGCAAGAUCAGAGUUCAGGGGUCAUGAAAUAAGGAAGUUAGUGUAAAGGAUGAAAUGUCAUAGUCAGAAAGAAGAUAUUUUAGAUAUGGUAUAGGUCUUGAGCCCAUAUAGUAAAUAACUGAAAUGGAGUGCAAAGAGAGGCAACUAUGGUCGAAGGCUCAAAGACACAUAAUCCUGGGUUUUUGGAGGUAACGUUUUUAUAGGCAGUGAGUCCCGGAACAUGAAAAGAGGAAUCAUGGUGGAGGCUUGUGUUAACAUCAAAGAAAACGGAUCUGGGAAGGGCAACAAUUUCAUGAUACUGAUCUCUAAGUUAAUCCUCGGAUAAUCAGGAAUUUGUGUAAAUUUAUAGGCAUAGGACUUAGCAAUGAAACAAAUGCUACUAGGGCAAAAUGAGAAUCCUUUCAAGAUAAUACAUUUUAAAUGCUUUCAAUCCAUGCACCAUGUGGCUUAAGAGCCUCAGACAGAUUUGGGUUUGGAAUUACAUCUUUGACUUGCCAGCUGUGUGGCCUGGGCAAAUUAUGUAUGGACUCUGAAACUUAGCUUCUCUAUCUUUUUUUUUUUUUUUGAAACAGAGUUUCGCUCUUGUUAUUCUCUCUAAAGAUAGAGAAGCCCGGCCCGCUUCUCUAUCUUUAAAGAGAGAAUAAUAAUAUAACCUACUUCAAAAUUUUACAGUGCCCUUUUCAAGGAAAAUAGUCAAUAGAUUAUAGCUGGCCAGGCGUGGUGGCUCAUGCCUGUAAUCCCAGCACUUUGGGAGGCUGAGACAGGUGGAUCACAAAGUCAGGAGUUCAAGACCAGCCUGGCCAACAUGGUGAAACUCCAUGUCUACUAAAUUUAUAAAAAUUAGCCAGGCAUGGUGGCAGGCACCUAUAAUCUCAUCUGCUCAGGAGGCUGAGGCAAGAGAAUUGCUUGAACCUGGGAGACUGAGGUUGCAGUGAGCCAAAUAAUACUACUGCACUCCAGCCUGAGUGAGAGAGUGAGACUCUGCCUCUAAAUAAAAAAGUAAAAUAAAAUAAAAUAGUAAAUGAUAGUUGCAUAGUCAAAGGUAGGGAAAAAAAACCCAGGUAUGUUUAUUGAUAAAAGCUGGAGCAUAUUCAAACUGCUCUGAAUUUAUCAUAUAUAGUAGUCUCACAUGUGGGCAAAGUAAGACUGGGAAAGCAACUGGGAGAUACUCAAGAUUAUAUGGUAAAAUUAUCAGAUUUCCAGCUCUUAGCGGGAAUCUACAGCACCGUCUUUUUUCUUUUUGUUAGACUUCCUGGUAGAACUCCUUGAUGUGGACAUUUCUUACUUCCCAGUGUAAGGAACUCAACAUUGCUCAAGAAAAUCACUCCAGUUUUUAGGGGCUGGGGAGAGGGGAGCAACUGUAAGACUUAGAUUUUUUCUUUAUGCUGCGUUAAGUCUAUUUGACCUUGUUUCCAAUCAUUUUGACCUUCUCGUGCCUCUGGCAGUUCUGUUUUCUCUUCUACAUGACAGCUCUUAAGCCAUCUGAAAACAGUGACUAUUGCUCCUGAAAUUUUACUGCUCUGACAUACUGAGGAGUCUUGGGGUCGUCAGUAUCUUUUUAUGAAACAGCCCAGGGCCUUCGCACUUCUGAUGGCCUCCUCUUGCCUAUUUUAGUCUGUCUUUGUCCCUGUUGAAAUCUCACCUCCAGGCAUGAUCUGCAUGCCACAAAACUGAGUUCAAGUUCUUGCUUCCUAAAUGUGAAUGCCGUUCAUGCUGUCACAGCUCACAUGGAUCUUCUAUUAAUCUUCAGUGUAUUUUCUCAUACACCAUUUUCAUGAACUUCACCAGAAGUAAAGGUGAGCUUUACAAUAAGAGGCAGAGCUUACUCUUUUUCAAGCUUUCAUUUUGUUAGAUUUGCUUCUUGUCCAUGCUUGAUAAUUCUUUUUUUGGAAUACGAAUUUUGGCAAACUGAAUUUAUGUGCAGAUUUGAUGAACACUGGAUAAGUCUUGGGUGACUGGCAGGGGCUUCAUUUACAGUCCUGAUAAAUGUCUUCUCAGUCAAAGCCGCUGAGCCUUGUCUCUUCCUGGUACAUGUGGGAAGAUGGGAAGAAGGAGGGCUACAUGCAGUCUCUGGCAACAUGCCUCUUUAUUACUGGAGAUGAGAUAAAAACACAGGACUUGUAAACUCUAGUGCUUGUUAUACUGGUCCAUGACAGCAUUUUCUCAUCAGAAUCAAAAGUUUUAUUUGUUUUCAGGAAGGAUUAUUUUUGGUUUUCAAAUUAUGCCUUUUAUUCUAUUUGAAUUUAAGUUUUUUUUUUUAGUUUGUAAGACAAAUGUGGUAGUGAGAGUUUUAGAAAUCUGUUCACUAGGAAAAAUAACAUUUAUCAAUCUGUUGAUCCACCAAAUGAAAAAAAAAAUAUCAUGAAAUACUGAAUGUUUGGAGAUUGUUGGUAUCUAACUUAUUGAGAUGUAUUAAAUAAUUUGGAUAAACUAUAAAUGUUUUACUUCUUCCAAAUACUUAUUUCUACUUAAGAAAUAGUUGAUAUAAAAACAAGCAAGGGGGAAAGGAUUCCCUAUUCAAUAAAUGGUCCUGGGAUAACUGGCUAGCCAUAUGCAGAGGAUUGAAACAGGACCCCUUCUUUAAUGCUAUAUACAAAAAUUAACUCAAGAUGUAUUAAAGACUUAAAUAUAAAAAAUAUAAAAAUCAAACUAUAAAAACCCUGGAAGACAGCCUCGGCAAUACCAUCAAGACAUAGGAACAGGCAAAGAUUUCAUGACAAAGAUGCCAAAAGCAAUUCCAAUGAAACAAAAAUUGACAAUUAGGAUUGAAUUAAAGAGUUUCAGUACAGCAAAGGAAACUAUAAACAGAGUGAGAAGACAGCAUACAGAAUGGUAUAAUAUCCAGCAUCUAUAAGGAACUUACAUUUAUAUGGAAAAAAAUACCCAUUAUAAAGCAGGCAAAGAACAUGAAGUUCUUCUCAAAAGUCACUUCUCAAAAGACAACAUAUAUGCGGCUCAUAAUCAUAUGAAAAAACCCUCAAAAUCACUGAGCAUUAGAGAAAUGCAAAUCAAAACCACAGUGAGAUACCAUGUCACACUAGCCAGAAUGACUACUAUGAAAAAUUUAAAAAAACAGAUGCUGGUGAGGUUGGGGAGAAAAAGGAAUGCUUAUACACUGUUGAUGGAAGUGCAAAUGAGUUGAAACAUUGUGAGAGACAGUGUGACAAUUCCUCAAAGACCUAAAAACAGAAAUACCAUUUGACCCAAGAAUUCCGUUACUGGGUAUAUACCCAAAGGAAUAUACCAUUUGUACUGUUAUAAAGACAUAUGCACACAUAUGUUCAUUGCAGCACUAUUUACAAUAGCAAAGAAAUGGAAUCAACUUAAAUGCCCAUCAAUGAUAGACUGGAUAAAGAAAAUGUGGUAGAUACAUACCACAUUUAUGGAAUAGUAUGCAGCCAUAAAAAAGAAUGAGAUAAUAUCAUUUACAGGAUUCUGAAUGGAGCUGGAGGCCAUGAUGCUUAGCAAAGUAACACAGGAACAGAAAACCAAAUAUUGCAUGUGUGAGCAAUAUGAGAGCCAUGAUGAGAACACAUGGGCACAUAGAGGGGAAAAAUAUACACUGAGCCUUUCAGAGGGUGGAGGGUAGUAGGAGCGACUGGAUAAGGACAAAUAACUAAUGGGUACUAGGCUUAAUACCUGGGUGAUGAAAUAAUCUAUGCAACAAACACCCAUGACACAAAUUUAUCUACAUAACUAACCUACACAUGUUCCCCUGAACUUAAUAUAAAAGUUAAAAAUAAUAGUUGAUAAAUUAGAGCUCAUUGGUGUGUUUGGACUAAACAGCAUUACCAAGACAGCAGUUGCAAUGCUCACAGCUCCUCCAUGAGGGAGGGAAGGCUGCAAAUUUGCACUAUCCAGAGAAGGAAGCUAUUGAGUGGCAGGGCCAAUGUGGCACAGUGGGUUUGAUUUUCAACCAGCACACGUGAUUGCCUCUUGAGGUUUUAGACCAGGUUAUUGAAAUAUAGCUAGCACAGUCGUGAAGUAGAAGGGUACAUUAAAUAGAAAGUGGGGUAGUAGGUAAAGCAUCUCUGUAACCCUGCAUAAGUCAGAUCAAUUCUCUUGGCCUUAGUUUACUCAACUGUUAGACUCUAUUUAGUGAAGCCCACUUCCAGCUAUAAAAAUCAAGUUUUUUGCCAUGUCAAUGGAAUGCAACAGGUAAGAACAAAGGAAUAGCAACUAUGUAAAAAAAAAAAAAAAUUGGCAACGUGCUCUCUCUUUCUCUCCUGUAUGUGUGGAUGUGUGUUGCUGGGCAUCCCCUAAUGGAAAUAUGAGGUAGCUCUAGGGACAAACAAAUCACAGGAAAGAGAAAAUACAUGAGAGGAAGGGUCAUAUACGGACAUAGAAAUUGUUUGCUUUUAUUAUGGUAUUGGUGUGAAAAUGACCAGCCCAUUAAUCAGAUAGGAUCAGGUGGCAGAAAGAAAGCAUGGGUUAUCUUGGUAAAUGCCUGAUCUUUCUUCUCUUCCUGUAUCCUCUUCGACUCUAUUUUGAUGGACAUAUUCAGCACUUUUUGAUCUAUAGCAAUUAAAAGGGAGCUUCUGCUGAUGGAAGUUUGUCAGGCCUUUGAAUCUGACACCAGGACCAGAGGGAGAGCUGCAUCUGCCGUGGGAGUCUGGGCUGUCAGGAGAUGAUAGGGGCUUGCCCUUCCAAGGGGAGAUCGCCUUUGGCAGGAGUAAGUGCUUUCACUCAGAGGCAGCCCUGCUAGUGAGAUGAGAGCAGUGUGCACUAAGGUAGCAGAUUCAAAGGAGUGAGCUGGCAAACAGAAUCACAUCACAUCUGCCUGGGAAAGUGAUCAAAAGCAACAGGACCCAGGCAGCUGGCAAAAGGUGACCCCUGGACACUCGGCUCUUUAAAAAACACAGCUGAUCCUAAAGAUUGAGAGAAAGUGAAUGAAUGUGCUCACUGUAAAUCUCUGCCAACUUAAAUCAUACAUCUUUCCUUCCUUCCCUUUUUCUCUUUCUUCACUUUUUAAAAAUCCAUCCUAUCUAGUUUACUACUGACAUGGUUUGGCUGUGUACCCACCCCAAUGCAUCUUGAAUUGUAAUUCCCACAAUUCCCACAUGUUGUGGGAGGAACCUGGUGGGAGGUGACUGAGUCAUCGGGCGGGUCUUUCCCCCGCGGUUCUCAUGAUAGUGAGUAAGUCUCACGAGAUCUGAUGGGAGUUUCCCUUCAGAAGCUUUCUUCUCUCGUCCGUUGCCAUGUUAGACCUGCUUUUCAGUUUCCUCCAUGAUUGUGAGGCCUCCUCAGCCACGUGGAACUCCUGCAACUUUAUGAAGGGAAGAAGUCACUUUCUCUUGAAGAACUUAAACCCUGAGUAUACCAUUUUUGUUUGAGAAUACUGAUGACCGCAUUUCCCAGCUUGCUGAUGAUUCUGACUGCUCAGUACUGACUCCUGUUGAACAUCCGUGGGAUCAAACCUGAGGCUUCACCUCCAAGAGCAUAAAAUACCUAAAUUACCCAUGAAACUUUUAUGAACAAGGCAAUUUUUGAAGCUGAAAAGCAUAAAAUAAUGUCAAAGCUCUCAAAGUGAAGAAGAUAAAAUUGUUCUUCAUCUUUACCUCCUUGCCUGCGCCCUUCUUCCCCCUCCCUCGCUUUUGGCCUAGUGUUUAGUGGAAAGCUCUCUUAUAAAAUUGCCCUCCUUUCACUUCCACAUCUCAGAGUGAUUGACAUCUAGACAAUUUUGUUUUGCCUUGGGUAACUUCAGAGAAUACAUUUUUUGCUCACUGGAUUCAGUACAUAUUUGUGUCUGUACUCUUUUUUGAUUGCAAAGGGUGAGACACUGUCUUUGGCUUUUUCUGAAUCUUCUCUUCAACCUUGUUUUGUGGUUAUUGUAGAAGAUGCCAAAGCGUCAGACUAGCAUUCAUUUGGAAAUCAUUUCUAGUAUAAGUCAGAGUCCUGAUGGGAAAACGGAAACCAUAUUAGGAAUUUAAAAUAGAGUCGAUUUGCUUUGGGGUAUUAUGACACAGAUACUGAUGAGCUGAAAGAGCAGAAAGGUAAAACUGGUGACCUAGAAUAGUAGGUACAGGAAGAGCCUGGGAUAAAGAAGAAACAGUGAAGACAAAGGACCUAUGUGGCUGGUUUAGCGAAUACAGAAAGAAGUUGCAGGCUUGACCAGGGGAAGCAUAGCUCCAAGGGAAAGAAGUAAGACAGGAGGAAGCUCCUUGUCCCUCUCCCCACGUCUCCCACUGUUACUCCAUUAUGCUGCCUACUGGCAGAAAUUCAGUUCCCCAACUGGGGAUCAUAGUUUGCUGUGAGCCCCAGCAUCACACAGUAUAGAGAGUUUAGAGGUAAGAGAAACUGGAUAAUAAAUCAGCACAAUUUCAACAAUUUUUGACACAAAGAGUAUAAUUUCUUAGUAUGCUUUCUAUUUAUACACUAUCAGUGAGAUUCCUAUAAUUAAAUAUAUAAUAAAGCUUCAUCAAAUGGCACUUUAAAUUAGCAAUUUGUAACUCAAUGCAUUUUUAUUCUAUAAUUUAUGAGUUUCCAUUUGUUUAUCUUUGGUAGAGACUAUUUUCAGUUGGCAUUUGAUAAUUAGUAAAUGGGAUUUUCACCUUCUAUUUCAGAACUGAUUCAGUUCUGAUUUUAGAACUGAAUCUCCACAUAAGUUGCAACUACAAACCAUCUAAUAAUCUAGCAAACAUAUUAAAUCAAUUUAAAAAGAACCAAGCAUGUAACAAAUUAUUGUCCUCUAAAGAGAAAAUAAUUUGAGAACAUAUAAAGCAGAAUUUUUAGAGAAGGAAUUUAAAGCUCAUGUAACCAAUGAUCCUUGUUUCUAAAGUUACUUCCCCUUAAUAGUCAAUUCUUUCUUUAUAAAUCUGUAAAGUGCUGGACUGAGACAGUAUUAAAAAAUACAUUUAAAUAAAUUUAGAGAUAAAAUAAA